UGGUAAGUAUUUUAAACAAAACAAAUGAUUUCGACUCAUUAGAUUAUGACAACCAUUCUAACCCA
This 65-nucleotide transfer RNA is filed under the name Colobus guereza matschiei. RNAcentral describes it as "tRNA-Arg". The record is from RNAcentral. Lineage: Eukaryota; Metazoa; Chordata; Mammalia; Primates; Cercopithecidae.